GGGGGCGUACUGGCUUCGACUCAUCGUUGGAAGCGCAGACGGCAUGUCGAGGAUGGUUCGUUGGCCUCGUUAAAAACCGGACCAAAAAACAAACGCAGACAACGAAGGUCUCGCUCUCGCGGCUUAAUUGACCGUGACGUUUGCCGUGGGACGCCUGCUACGGCGGCAAACGUGGACAGCAGGCUGGCGAAUCGGUGGAGCGACCACGCCGGUUCGUGAAUCGAUUUUGUGGAC
This 234-nucleotide transfer-messenger RNA is filed under the name Verrucomicrobiota bacterium. RNAcentral's name for it is "Verrucomicrobia bacterium partial transfer-messenger RNA". It matches the Rfam family "transfer-messenger RNA", at positions 1 to 251 of the family's 374-position model. Rfam says of the family: Bacterial tmRNA, also known as 10Sa RNA or SsrA, is named for its dual tRNA and mRNA-like properties. Its role is to liberate the mRNA from a stalled ribosome. The record is from RNAcentral. Lineage: Bacteria; Pseudomonadati; Verrucomicrobiota.